GAGGAAGUAAAAGUCGUAACAAGGUCUCCGUUGGUGAACCAGCGGAGGGAUCAUUAGAGAGUUCUACGACUCCCAAAACCCCAUGUGAACCUUACCACACGUUGCCUCGGCAGGCCCCGGCCCCCCCCCCUACCCCCCGGUAGGCGCGCGCGGGGGCCCCUCCUGCCGGCGGCCCACGAAAACCCCGUCAUAGCAUUGCAUCUCUGAGCAGGAUUAACUGAAAUACGUUAAAAACUUUCAACAACGGAUCUCUUGGUUCUGGCAUCGAUGAAGAACGCAGCGAAAUGCGAUAAGUAAUGUGAAUUGCAGAAUUCAGUGAAUCAUCGAAUCUUUGAACGCACAUUGCGCCCAUUAGUAUUCUAGUGGGCAUGCCUGUUCGAGCGUCAUUUCAACCCUUAAGCCCUAGCUGCUUAGCGUUGGGGGCCGGCGAGCGCCUGCUCGCCGCCCCUCGAAGUCAGUGGCGGAGCCGGUCACACACUCGUAGACGUAGUAGAUCUCUCGUCUCGCCUGCGGUUGUGCCGGCCCCCUGCCGUAAAACACCCCCUUAUAUUACCAAAGGUUGACCUCGGAUCAGGUAGGAAUACCCGCUGAACUUAAGCAACAU
This 604-nucleotide ribosomal RNA is filed under the name fungal sp. RNAcentral's name for it is "eukaryotic LSU rRNA". The stretch from base 233 to 386 matches the Rfam family "5.8S ribosomal RNA". The record is from RNAcentral. Lineage: Eukaryota; Fungi.